GUAACCAAUAUUCAUAAACAGAAAAAGAUAAAAACAAUAUACUUAAGAACAAGUUAAAGACAACAUCAGUUUAAGAUUAUCAUCUAUUAAUUCCACUGCAGAAAACUUAACCAGUUUGCAAAAAGAUGUAUAGCAUACCGUACAGCUUUUGCAAUACAUUAAACCUAUGAUGUGCAGAGGUCUUUGGAAAAUCUUUUUAUUCUCCGUUUUUUGACCCAUUUUAAGGGAGUGACAAAAAGGCAAAUAAAUGAAUGCUUGUUUUUUGUUUAUCCGUUUGUUUUUUCUUUUCCAAAAACCAUGCAUUUGUAAUCAUAAAAAAAAAAAUCAAGAUGGAAAAAAAAAUUCUGCAGGUUAGGUUUCCUUUUAAAAGCAGUAGUUAAGCGAUAACUUGUGAAAACUUAAAAUAAACCUCCUGUAGUCUGUCAAACAACAUUCAUAACAGAACAGGCCAAAAAUGCAUGACCAAAAUAAUGGAAGAUUUCACUUUAAAACACAUAUACCGUACAAUACAAUCUGUUUCAAUUGAUUGCAAACAACAGGUGAAAAAAAAACAAAAAACCAUGAAUGAAUUUAGCUAGCUUCUAAAAUGUCAAUGUGCAUGCAAGACCUCUCUCACUAUCUUUAUUGUAACUAUAGCCAUGCAGUAUUCCUUUAAGUAAAUCUGGAGGGGGGUAGGAGCCAGUCUGUUACCAUAAUCAACGUUCCGAAAAAGGGGAAUAGAGUACGGCAAAGUAUUACCUAGGAUAUGCUCCCGUCACAAGUAAACCUCCCAGAAUUAGGUGCAUGAAAUGAACUGUCUCUGAUUAACAUUUGUAUCCAGCAUCUCAAAAAAGUAAACAAAUAAAUUUACAUUUAUAUAACAUAUAUCUCAAAUUCACACUCUUUCCAUCAAAUCUGGAUAGUUUCAAGGUCUGAAUAGGAUUAUAUUUAAAGAACAGUUGUUAAGUAUUUGUGCACCAAUGUAAGUGUAGGCAUACUGCAAUUAUGUGCGGCUUUAAUAUUUUAAUGUCAUGCCUUCAUUCUUUUUGAUUUAGACAACUGAAUUCAUCCCUUUAGAGGCAUUACUAAGGUUACCAAAAUAUGGCUGGCAGCCAUCUUACUUUGUGGCAGACAAAUAGGUGUCAGCUACUGUAGCAAUAUUUCUGUGAAAAGGAUACUUAUCACUUCUGUCCCUGUUUGUAGAAUAUUUUACAUGUAACAGUAACAUUAGAUAUUCCUUAUUGUUUAUAUUUAUUCUAGCUACUGCUAUACAUAUUAGCUGGUCACAUCAAGUUGCCAUGUUUUAGUGAUUUUAUUUACGUUAUCAGAAGUCUGUAUUUCUAGCCAACAAAUUAUAGUUGUUACUAUAUUUUAGGUUUGGUCGUUCAUUUUUUGGAAAGUGCCACAUGAUAUAAGAAGCAUGGGUUCUAGACACUAUUAAAAUAGUGUUGUGAUACUGUAUAAUAGAUCCUAUAAUGUUGUUAUGCGAGGUGCAUAGCAACCUCUGAGGGCAAGAUCUGAAUGACUGGCAGACAAUUGGACACCAUUGUAAAGCAACAUAAAUUUAAUUAUCUGUGUUAAUCUUGUGAAUGAAAGCAUAGUGGUUUUAAUGCAGAAAGCAGUGAAUGCUAUCAAAAGCUGCUAAGCUGCUCUUUUGAUGACAUUGAAAAACAAUUUAGGCAGUAAAGCUGCCGCUGACUAUAGAGCUGAUACUCACUUAAAGAGAUACUACAGUCACCAAAACAACCUUAGCUUAGUGAAGCAGUUUUGUUGUAUAGAUCAUGCCCCUGCAGUCUCACUGCUCAAUUCUUUGUCAUUUACGAGUUAAAUCACUUUGCUUUUACCAGCUGUAGUCAUACCUCUCUGCAUGUGACUUGAACAGCUUUCCAAAACACUUCCUGUAAAAUGUCAUCUAAUGUUUAAACUUACUUAUUGCAUAUUCUGUUUAAUUCAGAAUUAAUGCUCUGCUAAUGGCCUUUUAGACCCUACAGGAGCCUACUGUGUGUGAUUAAAGAUCAAUUCAGGUUGCACAAAGAGAGAAAGUUAAAACGAUUUACUGGUAGUUGUAUGUGCACCUCUGUAUCUUCCACUCUGUGUACCAUGCGGUUUCUACUUACCUUAAGUUUAUACACUAAACUGAGAAUAAUGGAGGACUGGCAAACCAUUACAAAUUUAAGAUCUAAACCGAUAACAUGGAAAAAAAAGCUCAAAUCUAAUAUCUGAAAUUUCCUUGCUGAUUCUCUACAAUUCUCUGUAGUGCAUAAACCCCAUCUGUGUCAAACACUCCGUUUGCAUUCCUCAUGCUUUAUCCUUUUGAGUUUGUGUCUUUUAUAUCCUCUGUUUUUCUUACACUGUAGACUUUUUAUCAGUCUCACAAGAAAACAGGGAUGGAAGGAAAAUAUAAUUCAGUGUGGUAGCAGCAACAUGAUGUCUAAAUUUCAAGUGAUACUUUCUAACAGUGGAACAUAAUUCUGCAGUGAUGUCAUCAAAACGCAGCCAGAGAGACACAGCUGUGUUGCCUAAAACUGCUAUGAACACUUUGCAUUCAAUCAAGUGUACACAGCAUUUUAACUUUUUCUGCAUUAUUUUUUUCAUUUGUUUUAUUUUAAUUAAAACUGUAAGACAUGUAUUAACAUAUAUUUCAGAUUUAUGGGAAACGUUAAAAAUAUAUGUUAAUUACAGAGAAGUAUUGAUAAGUUCUUUAAGAAAAUGCUAUGCAUCAACCAAGAUCAGUGGAUGUUUCAUGUAAUACUUGCUAUAUGAGAAUGGGCUUAUUUCAUCACUGUGCACAUAAUGCCUUAUGGUACCAUCUAUGACAUCUGAUAAGUUCACACAUGUCAAGUGAGUGCCGGAGAUGUUUGCUGCAUUUUUUUCAAUGUUGUCAACCUUUCUGGCAAUCACACAGUUAAUAUUUAUCAAGUAGUGAACAUAAAAUGGCUUUGUGAUAUCUGUAGUGCCUUAUGCCUAAAAUCUCAGCGCAUAAUGUAUAAUUGACUCAAUGAUGUUUAGUAACAUAACAUGCUGUAAAGUAGAUACGUGUUAUUUGUGAGUGGGAGAAUGUUACUGUACACUGUCAGCGAAUAAUUAUUUCAUACAGUUCUAUAGAUUCCAUCAAAUUCUCAGUGACGUGGAUUGUAAAUUGUACUCUUCAUAAAACACAAAUGAGACGGUUUAGAGGGUAAAUCCUUAUUGCUUACAUGGUGGUAGCUUAUCAGAACUUUGUAUAUUCCAAAUGUUAUCUAAUCCGCAAAGAAAUUGCUUGGCGUCAUGUAUAAAGAGCAAUCUUGGGGUGGUGUUCUAAAUUGGAGCAAUCAGAAGGAGAGUUUGGUUAAAUUCCAUGAUAAUUUAUCCAAUUUUAGAACUUUUUGGUGUAAAGGAAAGAAAAACUAUGAAAGAAAUGUUAAUUUAUUAGACAAGCUAGUGUAUACAUUGUAGCUGUUAAUAAGAACAAUUCUAGAGCAAAUUUAAAGAAUACAAAGUGGUGCCAUCGGCACGAACAUUCUGUCGGCUUCCAUGGUGAGCGUUACACCUAGAACUUUAAAUGCUUUUCAUACAUAAACAUGAAGAGAGUAUUUAUCAAGACAAAAUAGAUUAUUCAUGGGGGGGGGGGAAGCUAACUAUAAUCAAUCACCAUGGAAACCAACAGAAUGUGUCUCAAAAUGUAGCACUUUGCUCCAAAUUAGCAUUAGUUUGCCUUCAUAAAUCUUCACCCAAAUGUUUUAAUCCCACAUUAGAUAUUUUUUUAAGUACAUUUGAUAAUAGAGUAACUAAUCAUAUUUAUUUAUCUAUUUUAAUAAAAUAUGAAUUAGCUCUGUUUGUUCAUAAUUGUUUUCUCUAUUUUUAACAUUUAGUUGUGCCCAAUUCAAUGCAGUUCUAACUAACUUUGAUAUAUAAAUAUGACAUAUUUCAUGUCUGAACAAAUGUUUUUGAAAUUUGAUUUACUAGAUAGCCAAAUUAUAUUCCAAACUAGAUGGGCAUAUUUAUGAAGACAAAACUGGAGCAAUUCUGAGUUACAGCUCCAGUGUAAAACUGUUGAAAUGUUUCUAAUGCUUGCUCCUCGUAUAGAACCCAUCUUAGAAUUGAUCCAGUUCUCUCUCUCUCUCUCUCUCGAGAGAGAGAGAGAGAGAGAGAGAGAGAGAGAAUUGUUCCACAAAUGUUGAUAGCUAUUCAAAACUAGGAAUAGGCAACAGAGCUUCCAAUUGGCUCAUCUAAUUUUAGCAUAUUGUAUCACCAUCAAUCAAAAUGUCGCCUUCUGAUCACAGUUUUGAACAUGACAUCCUACCCUCAUUAGCAGCUUCUCUAAUAUAUGGUUAAGUAAAUAAUUGCCAUCACAAACACUCCAUCAUGGUAUCUUUCUUCAUUUGUAUAUACUGACUGAGGUCCCUCGUACUUGAACCUUCACCCUUUGCCAUUGAAAGUGAGGUCCACCUCAGACUUGUGAGGUAGGAGUAGAUUUCACAGAGGUAAAGGUGUUAACAGGUUAUCAAGUUAAGGGAUAUCUAUAAUGUACAAUAAUUAUGUUUCUUUUUUUCAGAGACAUCAAUGGUUGUUAAGUAAUAUACUUUUGAUGGUUUAAACCUGUCGUGUUGGCUUGCUCCCUUUUUUUCUUAUGUUUGCAAAUUGUACCAAACCCUGUUAAAGUCAACAGGUCCCACCAUCAUCCCUGAAUUAUAAACCAUCUAAUGUACUGUAUUUCUUCAUGCAGUGAAUUGCACGACAAGAGUGCCACUGUACCUUCUAUUUCUUCUGCUAGCUAAUUCACAUAGUGGUUUGAAAAAAUGAAUACUGUACAUAAUUAUAUUAUUGAUGUAUAUAGUAGACUGUUUUAGCAUACAAAAGUGUACUUCCUUUGAAUAAGGAAAUGGAAAUGAUCUAUACUGCUCAUUAAAAUGUACAAUUUGAUUUUGUACUAUGCUUCUGCCUAAUAGCCACUUGUAUAUUUUGUGUUUUUUUUAUAUUAUGGUUUUUAAUUUCAUUGUAUUUGGGGAAAUGUGUCUUCUGACACGAACUGCUGAUUAGAAUGAAGAUGUGUUGAUCCAAUUUUCCAACCUCUGGUACUCUUCAUGAAUUAAUAAUUUAAAAAUAAAAUUGUGUGUUUGUUUA
Non-coding RNA from Pelobates cultripes (western spadefoot toad), 5082 nucleotides. Lineage: Eukaryota; Metazoa; Chordata; Amphibia; Anura; Pelobatidae. The record is from the annotation of a GenBank genome assembly.